GUUCUUUACUUUUCUUUUUUUGUCAAUCUUUCUUUUAUUGAGGCCAAAUGUGAUACAAUACAGAAAAGAGAGUUUUAGCAGAAAUAUACAAAAUAGUAAAAUGGUUGUUUAAUACUAAACAGAUUCCUUGAUAGACUGCCUCAUUUUAUAUAAAUAGAUAACAAGCUAGUUAAACAUGGUGAUAAAACAAGACUUCAAGGUUUAGAAUAUAUUCUAGGUAUGUUGGUAAAGGUUAGAGAGAAUAAAAUGAAUCAUGCCAGUUUACCAUACCAACGAGGGAGAUACCAGUCGCCUGAGUGGAAACAAACACUCAUAAUACCCAGAACAAUUCCUCCGCACAAUCAAAGUAAAACAAAGCACUGCAACACUAUAAAAUAAAAUAGAAACUGCUGCCCAGUAUAAGCCAUAAGCAGGGCCAGAUUAAGAGCCUAGUGGGCCUGGUGCUGACAAUUAUGAUGGGCCUAAUUACAGAAUCUUAU
Pelobates cultripes (western spadefoot toad) is the source of this 479-nucleotide non-coding RNA. Lineage: Eukaryota; Metazoa; Chordata; Amphibia; Anura; Pelobatidae. The record is from the annotation of a GenBank genome assembly.